Molecule: ribosomal RNA, 582 nt
Filed under: uncultured bacterium
Lineage: Bacteria
Description: bacterial SSU rRNA
Rfam family: Bacterial small subunit ribosomal RNA
Source: RNAcentral
UACGGGAGGCAGCAGUAGGGAAUUUUCGUCAAUGGGGGGAACCCUGAACGAGCAAUGCCGCGUGAGUGAGGAAGGUCUUCGGAUCGUAAAGCUCUGUUGUAAGAGAAAAACGGCACUCAUAGGGAAUGAUGAGUGAGUGAUGGUAUCUUACCAGAAAGUCACGGCUAACUACGUGCCAGCAGCCGCGGUAAUACGUAGGUGGCGAGCGUUAUCCGGAAUGAUUGGGCGUAAAGGGUGCGUAGGUGGCAGAUCAAGUCUGGAGUAAAAGGUAUGGGCUCAACCCGUACUGGCUCUGGAAACUGAUCAGCUAGAGAACAGAAGAGGACGGCGGAACUCCAUGUGUAGCGGUAAAAUGCGUAGAUAUAUGGAAGAACACCGGUGGCGAAGGCGGCCGUCUGGUCUGGAUUCUGACACUGAAGCACGAAAGCGUGGGGAGCAAAUAGGAUUAGAUACCCUAGUAGUCCACGCCGUAAACGAUGAGAACUAGGUGUUGGGGGAAUAACUCAGUGCCGCAGUUAACGCAAUAAGUUCUCCGCCUGGGGAGUAUGCACGCAAGUGUGAAACUCAAAGAAAUUUGACGGA